This is a long non-coding RNA of Gopherus flavomarginatus (Mexican gopher tortoise), 2208 nucleotides long. RefSeq lists it as uncharacterized. The record is from RefSeq and is a predicted model, not a curated record. The transcript has 2 exons. Lineage: Eukaryota; Metazoa; Chordata; Testudines; Testudinidae.
UCUGAGGUUUUGUGUGUGGAUGGAUGGUACCAGUGUCUGGGCUAAAACACAUAUAAAACAUGUGGUAAGCCUGCAGUGCAGAACCCUUAGGGCGAUCACUUCUAGCAAUGAGAGAAUAGUUUGGGCUCCAUCCCCGAUCAGUCCUUGGUCUCUGCUGAGUGGCUAACUAUGUUGGCAGAUUUUGUGGUGUGGAUACUUGUCCACUGGAACAGGACUGAGGCCACCAAACAGCCACCAGAAGAUAAUAAGUUUUAGUCACUACCAAUCUGGGCUGAAUAGCGACAAGAUCUAUUCCACUGAAUUCCCACAAGAAAAUAAAUCUUUUUGUUGUAUGCGGUUAUUUGACAGUCUAGAGGCCACCUGUUUCCACUUAUGUGUUUGUCAGUUACCUGAUGUUUCAGAACAGCAAGGGGAAUUCACUCUGUCUUGAAGGUAUUUUAGUGUAAAAAUGGGAAGAAAAAUAGUCUUGUGGUUAAAACACAAGAAUGGGAGACAAGAGGCCCCACAACAGACUUCCUCUGUGACCCUGUGAAAAUCAGUUACCCUUUCUGUGCCACACUUUCUCCAUCAGUAAAAACGGGUUUUGAUUAUUGAAUUCAUUAAUAUUUAUGAAAUGCUUCAGUUAUUGUUAAUUCCUCCCCUCCCCUUUAACUUCCAAGAAACUCAGUGGUAGAUUCCCCCCACCCUCAAUAUUUGGAAACUAAAAGUCAUUCCUUCGAUUUGGGCUUAAUCAAGUUGUGCCUCUUUACAAGAUUAUUUAAAUAUAUAAGAGUAAUAACAAUCAAAUUAAGCCUGACAAUUUAAGCUUGGCUCUUGCUAUGAUAUCUUCAGGGAGACAUGUUUGUUUUCUGUCCAAUGCAGUGAGUGAAGUCUGAAUAUGAGCACAAAUAUUUAGCCUUAUCUCAGAGUUACAGGCAGUGGGAGGUAACUGAAGCAUAUUUCUUUAUUGACCAAGCUUGUGAAGACCUUGUGCUCAGCUUGAUGGCAUUUAUCUGUUUCAGUAUAUGUAACACAAUAACUUUUGAACACCACAUCUGAUCAAUUCCUAAAUUUCAUAGAAUGUUCCAGACACAGGGAGCACCUGCCACCUGACUGACACAGCCAGAGCUUCAUGCACCUCUUCACUUGUCUCUGUAUAACACUAUUGGAUGAUGGCACCUAUUCAUGGCUUCCAGCAUAACAAUACCCCUUCUCAUCUUGACCUAUGCUCGCAAUAGAGAUUAACAUUUUGAUAACUCAUUCAAGAGACCAGGGAAGAAAAUGCACCACUGCCCUGACUUCCGUCUUCGGCCGAGGAUGGUUGAGAAGGAACUGAGGAGGGUGCGGGGCGCACGCACUCAGGAAGAUUCCAAUGAGACGGGAAAUACCAACUGAGUGCAUGUGUCCCAACCAGGCACUGCUACCGAAAAUCUCCGAUCAAUGGCGCCGGGAUGCACCGUCACCUAGAGUGGAGCACCCACAGGGUCAGCACUCGAAGAACAACUUACUUUUCACCAAAGUCCAUUUUAAAAUUUAUUUAUGUCUGGUCUACACACAGUUUUAAUACUGAUUUAACUAUUUUGGUUUCAAACCAAGACAGUGAUACAAAAAAUGUGUUUACACAAGCCCUUAUUUAAACUGGUACAAACUCCUAAGUAGACACGUUUAUCUCAAUUUAGUUGAAGCCAAUAACUUAAAUGAUUUUAGUUAAACCAGUGCAAGUUGUGUGUGCAAAGCAUAAUGAUAUUUAUUUCACUGUCAACAAUAUUAACUAUUUAAUGACUGGAGCAAUGAUGACCAAUACGUUUACUCACAAAUUUAAACUGUCUUUCCACACUUUCCCAGAUGUCAAAAGGUCCAACUUCAGGAGUGCAGUUUCAGAUUUUUUGGGAGGAGGGACUUUAACUGUGAUUCCAGGGGCAUGGAGGCAUGUGAAAACUCUAGAGUUCUUUUGCAAACAAUAACUUAGAAAUUAGCUGACAGGAGCACUGUACCUAAUUCCUAUAUAAAGAAAGAAAAAAUAUAUACAAACAUAAAUGAAAGCCACAUUUUAUGUUUAUAUUAAAUUUAGAACAAUCAGGAGAUUUAAUACAGCAAAAUAUUCCUAAUCUCAAACCUGGAGAUUUCAGUUCUGGGGCUUUAACACAGAUAUCAGAAACAUAGGUUUGAUACUUUGUACACUAACUUUAGUAGAGAUAAAUAAAAAUAAAUAAAAUCUGCUUAAAAUUU